RNAcentral lists this ribosomal RNA (468 nucleotides) under uncultured bacterium. RNAcentral describes it as "partial 16S ribosomal RNA". It matches the Rfam family "Bacterial small subunit ribosomal RNA", at positions 28 to 507 of the family's 1533-position model. The record is from RNAcentral.
GACGAACGCUGGCGGCGUGCUUAACACAUGCAAGUCGAACGGAAAGGCCCUGCUUUUGUGGGGUGCUCGAGUGGCGAACGGGUGAGUAACACGUGAGUAACCUGCCCUUGACUUUGGGAUAACUUCAGGAAACUGGGGCUAAUACCGGAUAGGAGCUCCUGCUGCAUGGGGGGGGUUGGUAAGUUUCGGCGGUUGGGGAUGGACUCGCGGCUUAUCAGCUUGUUGGUGGGGUAGUGGCUGACCAAGGCUUUGACGGGUAGCCGGCCUGAGAGGGUGACAGGCCACCUUGGGCCUGAGAUACGGACCAGACUCCUACGGGAGGCAGCAGUGGGGAAUAUUGCGCAAUGGGCGGACGCCUGAUGCAGCAACGCCGCGUGCGGGAUGCCGGCCUUCGGGUUGUAAACCGAUUUCGCCUGUGACGAAGCGUGCGUGACGGUAAUGGGUAAAGAAGCACCGGCUAACUACGUG